AUAAGAUUAUGACUUCUAUCUUGCUAGUAGACCCUCUCCAUUAACUCUCUCUCUUUCUGAUUGAGUGUAAGCUGCUAUAUGAAGGGAUCCACAAGACGAAUAAUUAAGGGGGACCUCUGAUCAACAGCCAGCAAGGAACUGAAUCCCUCAGACCCACAACUCACAAGAAACUGAAGCUGAAGCAGAUUCUUCCUCAGUCAAGCUUCAGGUGCCCAGCUGUAUUGGUAGAGGAGACCAACCACACCCUCCACAGCACAGCACCUGGAGAGGAACUGCUGCCAUGACCAUAGAGGACACCCUCUGGAUACAAUGCCAGACUUGAUGUGGGACUGACCAACCUAUGGACCCCAGGCACCACCACCCAGACCUGCUCAGCACCUGAAACAUUCACAGCCGUGGAGAGAGAACUGUUCACUGCUACCAUCCACACUUCUGGGCCCCUUCAGCAGCAGGGUGACAAGGAAGAGGGAAAUCGACUUGGAAAAGAGGGGACCUCUGACCCAAGAGUUCGGUCAAUGCAUAUGUUGGCAGCCAGCUGCACAUCGCACCAAAUAUGAACUUCAAAUAGAAGAAAGCCUCAUUUGGAAGAAAGCUCAUGCACAGACUGUAAAUAUUUCAGAGCAGAUUGUGUCUCUGUAGAUUAAGGCUAUAGAAAGAUUUUUUAAAGAUCUAUAUGAAGAAUAAGAAGUUAGUCCCUUUCGGACAAAAAUCUUCAGUAAAAUUGAUCUGUGCCCCAGGCACACAAAGAAGCAGGAAUCUGGGUAUUCUCACUGUCAAUAUUCCAUAUGUCUAGCCCCUGGAAACCUAAAACAAGACCAGAGAAUACCAAGGAAGGCAGAUUAUUUGGAAGACAUGGAUGCCAAAGUGCUUCUCAAUCCAGUCUCAGAAGCCAGAGAUGUCAGUGGGUGCUGCUGUUUUAUUUCCUGUGAAUCGGAGGACGAUGAGAAACCAAAUGAAAAUAUUGCCACAGUUAAGAUUGAAAAGAAGGCAAUUUAUGAGUGAGGUGUGGAUUUCAAAUGAGAUCUUCUCUGUUGACAGAGAGCCUUUGCUCUAAGCCAAUACCUGAGCUUCUGCCAGUUUGAACAAUUAUAAUGGAGGAAGGAGAUGAGGGAUUAGAAAAAACAAAGCUGACAGAUGGCAAUUUGUGAAGAGUUGAAUCAACAUAAAUUAUAUCUCAUCAGUGAGCAGAGGAAAGAGAGGAUGUUUUCCAGUGUUCGGCUAACCACUGAGAUGGUGAACAUGCCAGAGGCACAGCAAGCAAACCACUGGGCACCCUCCAGAUCUGGAUGCAAGCACAGAGCUGGAGAAAUACCCUUUAUUGGAAAGCCAUAUGGAUUGCAAAUUGUGGAUAGACAUCUAUUUGAAACAAUACAAUAAAUGAACAUCUGGGAUUUUGGUAGGUGUCAGUCAUAGACUACAGAAAACCAGAACAAAAUUGCUCAUAACUAAAUAUGAUAAUGCAGAAAGUAUCCAAGACUCGCCAGUUCAAAACCCACAUUUUUAAUAGUGUAUAUGGUUAAGUGUAAAUGUUUUUUUCUGAGGUUAGAAACAGUUCACUGAAAUCAUAUAAAAUGUUCAAGUUAUCAAUU
Molecule: long non-coding RNA, 1589 nt
Organism: Homo sapiens (human)
Lineage: Eukaryota; Metazoa; Chordata; Mammalia; Primates; Hominidae
Product: MIR3976 host gene
Source: Ensembl